RNAcentral lists this ribosomal RNA (253 nucleotides) under uncultured bacterium. RNAcentral describes it as "partial 16S ribosomal RNA". It matches the Rfam family "Bacterial small subunit ribosomal RNA", at positions 524 to 776 of the family's 1533-position model. The record is from RNAcentral.
UACGGGGGGGGCAAGCGUUGUUCGGAAUUACUGGGCGUAAAGGGCCAGUAGGCGGCCAACUAAGUCCGACGUGAAAUCCCAAGGCUUAACCUUGGAACUGCGUCGGAUACUGGAUGGCUUGAAUCCGGGAGAGGGAUGCGGAAUUCCACGUGUAGCAGUGAAAUGCGUAGAGAUGUGGAGGAACACCGAUGGCGAAGGCAGCCCCCUGGGUCAAGAUUGACGCUCAUGCACGAAAGCGUGGGGAGCAAACAGG